UUGUUAGGUUGGGUUCUCUUGGGUGAGGUUUUCAACAAAAAGCAAGCGGGGCAAGGGUUUUUAUGCCCAUUUCAAUUGGAAAAAUUGGGAUGGGAGCGAUUCUACCUCUUUUAAGAUGGCAAAGCUUGUUGGUUAUCUCAGAAAUAGAUGGCAAGAAUGUUAUACCCAAUUUUGGACCUCUUAAUGGAGUUAGUAUUGUAUGGUAUCUAGUUAUACACACAGAUA
RNAcentral lists this unclassified non-coding RNA (225 nucleotides) under Hevea brasiliensis (rubber tree). Lineage: Eukaryota; Viridiplantae; Streptophyta; Magnoliopsida; Malpighiales; Euphorbiaceae. The record is from RNAcentral.